Molecule: long non-coding RNA, 496 nt
Organism: Macrobrachium nipponense
Lineage: Eukaryota; Metazoa; Arthropoda; Malacostraca; Decapoda; Palaemonidae
Exons: 3
Source: RefSeq, a predicted model, not a curated record
GUUAUCGCAUAAUCAGCAAUCAUUCAGUGUCAUUUCUAAGACAGUGUGUUAUUAUGUCUGGGUUUCUUCGUGUUAUAACUUGUACUUCAGCCUCGUCUCCCUUGCAACUGAAGGUGUUACCAUUACUUUCAAAGACGUGAUGAUGAUAGGCAUAGCCAACGUAGUCCGUGGCGGCUGCGUAGGACUUGUGACCGGCGGCGCUUCUGCAGCAGCUGCGACGACAACAAGGUCACCCGGUCUCGUCGCUGCCAAACGUAGGUGGCUUCGCACAGCAACAAGUGGCAGGGUUCCUCUGACAGCUGUUCUCUCCGACGGCACAAUGAACGUAACACCACCAGAAUGUCUAAAGAAGCCUUUAACGGUACCAUCCAAAUUGCUGAUGGGCCCAGGGCCUUCCAACAGCCCAUUGCGUGUUCAUUAUUUGCUAUGAUGAAACCAUUAUUAGGGCAUCUUCACCCAGAGUUUUGUCAGGUAAAGUGAUGGUUACUUAUUGUCA